AGAGUUAAACAGUACGUGAAAUUGUUGAAAGGGAAACGAUUGAAGUCAGUCAUACCAACGGGAAAUCAACCUUUUGAGUUUGGUCUCGUGGGUUUUGAAGAGUUUAAAAGCCUUCGGAUUUUCGAGAUUGGGUUCUUCUGGUGUACUUUCUCGUACGGUUAGUCAACAUCGGUUUUGAAUGUCAUAAAAUGACUGGAGGAAUGUGGCUUCGAUCUCGUAUUGAAGUGUUAUAGCCUUUGGUAGAUGUGAUGUUUGAGACCGAGGAUUGCAACGGAUACCCUUCUGGGCUAUUCGUCUGAUCUCUGAAACGUUGCCUUGAUGUCGAAAGCUUGCUUAUGAUGUUAGGGUAUUACGGUCAAAAGGUUAGAACGGAUUAAAUUCGUUAAGGAUGUUGACGUAAUGACUUUAAACGACC
Molecule: small RNA, 415 nt
Filed under: uncultured Glomeromycotina
Lineage: Eukaryota; Fungi; Glomeromycota
Description: eukaryotic LSU rRNA
Source: RNAcentral